GCUGCUCUGUUUCCCGGUUCGUGACGGUCUUCUUCCUCUUUCCCGUCCUCCUUUCUUGUUUUUUACUUUAAAACAGCUGGGGAAAAUACGAAUCGUAAGAAGCACCCACAUCCUCAUCAGCUGGGAGGACUUGUUUCCCUGGAAGUUAUUCUUGGACUUUCUCCUUUUAUUUGGUGCAUCCAGCCCGGCUUAGAACACAGCGCACAUGGCUGUUGUUUUCUUUGUGACACUUUACCCUCAUUUUCAUUUUAUUUUAGAACUUUUUCUACUUGGUCAUUUUUCUGGAGUAGUCGUCAAGCCCUAAAAAAGCGAGUAAGGAAACUCUGGGACAGAUCAUUUCAGAAUCCUCAAGUCCGGCGUCAGUCUGGUGAUGGUUUCUGGUUGUCCUCAGGGUCUUGAACCAGUGCCUCCACAGAGACAAACCUGAUCAUUAACCCACUACGCCAAAGUGGAAACUCAGACUUAGGUAUUUGGAAUACAUUCUAUUGAAAAUGAAUGAAGCGAGCUUGUCUAUUCAAGGAAAACAACUGAUAAUAUUUGUGGCCAAAGAGAAAUUUGAAUUUUCAGGCUCAGAACUACAGUAACCCCAGCGUCAGCAGACCAUGAGGCAAACACUUCUUUUUCAACAGUCUGAGAAUGCCCAAGGGUCACUGAGCUUGGGUCUCUGCCAUUCACGGGAGGAGCAGAGUCAAAUGUAAAGGAGUGGGGUAUGCAGAUGGGCCAAGCUUGAGAUGCAGCUCACCCUGGGACCAGAGAGGUAGGUUCAGUCCCCCCUUCUCCCCAACUCAAAGGCCUGAACAGAAUCCUCAUGGAACGAUGGAUGGCCACCCCCAAAGAAAGGGACAUUGGGAGAGAACAGCACACGUUCACUCCCUGGUCACUCAUGGGAAGGGGCUCUACCAACAGGACUCCCAUCUGGGACCUGCCCUUGGAUCGCCCUUGACACCCCACCCUGCCUCCCAGCUGCUAGCAAGCAGGCACAGCUCAUUCUACGUGUUGCGAUGGCUUUUUGCACCAGCUGUCUCCUCCCUACGUAGGUCACAUCCCAGAGGCAUGGCUCUUCCCCCUCUGCUGGGUCACUUCAUGCAGCUGGAGAGGAGCCAUGACACGUUCCUCCUGUCUCUGUGGGUGAGGGGCCUGUCAGACCCUCCCCCUGCUUGUCCCUGCAAUGCCAUGGCCUCAGGAGGGAGGCAGAGUGUUGGCAUAUUUCUCCUGGACUGGGUGCUCCUAUCCUCCGUCCAAGGCUGCUUAGUAUUUACCGAGUAAAAGUCAUUGCCCUGGAGACGCAAGGUUUAUUGACACUGAGAGAUGAACGCUGUCUGGUCUGUGGAUCUGCAGAGAAAGCCUCCUGUGUUUCUGGGCAGAGUCUCAGGGAGAAGGUGUCUGCAGGGGCCCAGAGCUUGGCCAAGCGGGGUGGGUGGGUGUUCUGGAAAUCGUGGGUGGCUGAGGGUGGCCUGAGCACAGGAGGCAGGUGGGCGCUGUACUUGUGCUCUGAACAACUUGGGGUGUCUGGGGUGCAGGUUUGCCCCGAGUGCCUCGUCCUGGCUUCAGGGGCUGCCUUCCUCUAUUGUCCCUUUCAUGUGGCUCCUCCCUGGUCCCUCCACCCUCUUGUGUUGGAUUCAGCCCUUGGUCCUGGAGGGAGGGUCUAGGGACAGCCCAGUCCCAUACCUGGAGUCUCUGCUGUCAGGAUCAUUUUCGACCUGGGUGGUUGAGCCCUGCCUGGGUCCUCCCACCCUUUAGGGUGCCUUCCUUAAAGUUGUCUAGGUCCAUAUCCACUGCCUGGGUCUAGGCCGAUGGGGACGCCUUUGGUGGGGUUCUCCAAGUCUGAACAGGACCCAUGUGGGCCCUGGACCCUGGUUUUUCCCCUCAGGCACUGUCUGGCCCUGCCCCCAACAUGCAGAGUUGAUUACAAGGCUCCAGAGGCUCUAGGACUCAGGCUGAUGGUCAUUCUGUGGGUCCUGUGGCUGGGCCCUGGUUCCGGGAAGGUGGCCUGGUAAAUAAAUGCUUCCUAGUGGCCAGCAUGGUCUUCCUUUUGUGGGUUCAUGUGAGGUUGGGCUGCCAGAAUGGUGCUGACAUGCUGAUUUGGGGUGACUCAAAUAGUUUAUGUAGACAGAGGCCGCACAGAAGAUAUUUCCGCAAGGCCCUGAACGCCCUUGACUGCUGCAACUCGCUGCGGGGCACCAGUAAAUACCUAAGCCCCCCACCAUCGAUCCCUCUUUCCAGCACAACCUCUGGUCCGACUGUCAGGAGCUUGCCUAAUCACUAUUUCUCCACCCCCAACUUAUUUUUUGUGGCCAUCACCUCGUUUUUGUUUGUUUGUUUGUUUUUGUUUUUGUCUUUUUGUCUUUAUUUAGGGCUGCACCCGCGGCGUAUAGAGGUUCCCAGGCUAGGGGGUGUCUCAUUGGAGCUGUAGCCUCCGGCCUAUACCACAGCCACAGCAACGCCAGAUACGAGCCACGUCUGUGACCUACACCACAGCUCAUGGCAAUGCGAUCCUUAACUCACUAAUCAAGGCCAGAGAUGGAACCUGCAACCUCAUGGUUGCUAGUCAGAUUAGUUUCUGCGGAGCCACGACAGGAACUCCAUCACCUCGUUUUUGAUCAGAGAGUCCUGGUGGGUCCCAGCAUUCUUCACUCGCCUUGGCCACUCUCUGCCCCUCCCCGCUAUGUGCCUAGCACUGAGGGACUGAAGGGUCCAGGCCCUUGUCUGCUUGUGUCCCAUGGGGGUCUGCACCUGCUGCCUCCCUGGAGGCAGCUUCUUCUGAGUCUGGUCUGGGUGUCCCCUGUCACUACGACCAGCCUGCCUCAAACACUGGGUAUCUGUGAGGACAGGUUUGCUGCGUGCAGGGGCCACAGAGUGGAGACUUGACAUUGGUGACAGAUGCUUCCUCCCAGACAGCAGAUAAAGGUCGCUCCUAAAUUUCAGAAUAAAAGCAUCCACUUAUCUGGAAAAUGUCAAAAAGAAGAACGGUUGCCCUUUGCCGAGCUAAGCCCUGCAUGGUUUGGUGGGGAACCGAGGAGGGCGAGACGCCUGCUGGGGUGGCCCAGGGGAACCCAUUUGCUCAUUCAGGGAUGGAAGGACAGCUGGUGUCUCCUCCAUAGGCUGGUCCAGAGGCCUGGGAUCAUCCAGAUCUGGGUGUCAGGGAAGGUACCGUGUGGUAGUGAGAGGCAGUGUGUCUGCCAGAUCUGGGUAGAGGAAUUGGUCUGCUUGAUGUCACCUGCAGUGAUAAACUGUUAACUUGACAUCAAAGCCUGGGUGUUCCCUGGUUAGAAUGGCCAUCAUUAAAAAGUAUACAAAUAAUAAAUGCUGGAGAGGGUGUGGAGAAAAGGGAACCCUCCUACACUGCUGGUGGGAAUGUAAAUUGGUGUAGCCAGUAUGGAGAACAGUAUGAAGAUUCCUCAAAAAGCAAAAUAUAGAGUUACCAUAUGAUCCUGCAAUCCCAUUCCUUGGCAUACACCCAGAGAAAACCAUAAUUUGAAAAGAGACAUGCACCCCAUUGCUCAGAGCAGCACCAUUUACAAUAGUCAAGACACAGAAACAACCCAAAUGUCCAUUGACAGAUAAAUGUACAAAGAAGAUGUGAGAUAUACAUAUAUAUAUAUACACAUACACACUGGAGUACUACUCAGCCAUAAAAAGAAUGAAAUAAAGCCAUCUGUAGCAACAUGGAUGGAACUAGAGGUGAUCAUACUAAGAUACUAAGUGAAGUAAGUCAGAAAGAGAAAGACAAGUACCGUAUGAUUCCCUUAUAUGUGGAAUCUAAAAUAUGACACAGGAAUUGUCUUGUGGUGCAGUGGGUUAAGGAUCUGGCAUUGUUACUGCAGCAGCUUGGGUCACUGCUAAGGCAUGGGUUUGAUUCCUGGCCUGGGAAAUUCCCUAUGCUGCAGGGGUGGACAAAAAAAAAAAAAAAAAAAAAAAANAAAAAA
This 3926-nucleotide long non-coding RNA is filed under the name Sus scrofa (pig). RNAcentral's name for it is "lncRNA (ENSSSCG00055015579.1)". Lineage: Eukaryota; Metazoa; Chordata; Mammalia; Artiodactyla; Suidae. The record is from RNAcentral.